Molecule: long non-coding RNA, 1604 nt
Filed under: Homo sapiens (human)
Lineage: Eukaryota; Metazoa; Chordata; Mammalia; Primates; Hominidae
Description: HSALNT0319063
Source: RNAcentral
GUUCCCUUCCACACUGCGGAAGCUUUGUUCUUUCGCUCUUUGCAAUAAAUCUUGCUACUGCUCACUCUUUGGGUCCACGCUGCUUUUAUGAGCUGUAACACUCACCGCGAAGAUCUGCAGCUUCACUCCUGAGCCCAGGGAGACCACGAGCCCACCGGGAGGAACGAACAACCCCAGACGCGCGGCCUUAAGAGCUGUAACACUCACCGCGAAGGUCUGCAGCUUCACUCCUGAGCCAGCGAGACCACGAACCCACCAGAAGGAAGAAACUCCGAACACAUCUGAACAUCAGAAGGGACAGACUCCAGACGCGCCACCUUAAGAGCUGUAACACUCACGGCGAGGGUCCGCGGCUUCAUUCUUGAAGUCAGUGAGACCAAGAACCCACCAAUUCUGGACACACAAUGAGAUAAUAACAUAAGUUUGAAAACUGCAAUUGGGCCUACUAAGGAACCAUGAUAGUGUUUGGUACAUAGAGGACACUGGAAAUGGUUUUCUUAACUGAACAAGUGACUAGAAUAAAGGAAUUAAUGAACGACAUCAGAGCUGAAAUCCCAAACCAUAAAUCAUAAAAGGAUCAGACAGCAAAGAGAAUGUGAAGAAAUGGAAUGGGCUCCAAUCAUUUAAAGGAUGAAAAAACUUUUUGAAAUACUAUUUCACAUCAAACUUUGAUUUAUAGCUACUAAAUAUUUAACCUUUUUCAUAUAAAAAUUACAGUAUGUACUGUUAUCUCAGAGGCCAAAGUGAUAACAUUUGUUAACCCCAAAUCCAGCAGAAAAACAACUUUUUGCUUCAUUAGAGCACUGUCCCACUUGUUUCCAUGGGUGGCAAGAAGGUCUUUUGUUUGUUUGUUUGUCUGUUUGUUUUUUUGAGAGGAGACUCGCUCUGUGGCCAGGCUGGCGUGCAGUGGCGUGAUGUCGCUGCAACCUCAGCCUCCUGCCUUCAAGCAGUUCUCCUGCCUCAGCCUCCCGAGUAGCUGGGACUACAGCUGUGCGCCACCACGCCCCGCUAAUUUUUGUAUUUUUAGUAGAGACAGGGUUUCACCUUGUUGGCCAGGAUGGUCUCCAUCUUUUGACCUCGUGAUCCACCCACCUUGGCCUCCCAAAGUGCUGGGAGUACAGGCAUGAGCCACCGCGCCCGGCCCAAGAAUAUCAUAUUUUUAGGUGCAUAAUGGUGAUCCUUUGCAUGUUUACUGGCUUAUAUUCUAUUCCUUUUGCACAUCUGCAUUUUUAUGCCAAAUUAAAUAAGGUAUGUUUAUAUAUUUCUGGGGAAUAAAAUUCUUUGUCAGCAUUCAGUUUUCUGCAUUCCCUUGUGAGUUCAAACACUGGAAGUUAUUUCAUUAGAAUUUACUGAAAAUGUUUUUGAGACCAGUUAAAAAUUGCUGUAUAAAAUUAAUGAUAUUGAAGACCCUUACACCAUGUAUUUUUAUAGUAAUAAAGAUUUCCCUAAGUAAUUCGACAUAUGAGUGUGACUGUAAGAAAAACUUCCCCCUUAUUUUUAUCUAAAGAUAUAUGUUGCAGCUAUAAAUAAAAGUAAUGCUUUAUCUGUAAAUAGUUCAUAGUUAAAUUAUGAAAUUUAGGUAAGCAAAAUGAAGAAAAACCUGC